GCGCGAGUGGCGAAAUUGGUAGACGCACCAGGUUUAGGUCCUGACGCUUCACGGCGUGCCGGUUCGAGUCCGGCCUCGCGCACCA
This 85-nucleotide transfer RNA is filed under the name Sutterella wadsworthensis. RNAcentral's name for it is "tRNA-Leu". It matches the Rfam family "tRNA". Rfam says of the family: Transfer RNA (tRNA) molecules are approximately 80 nucleotides in length. RNAcentral also lists the same sequence under 4 other names. The record is from RNAcentral. Lineage: Bacteria; Pseudomonadati; Pseudomonadota; Betaproteobacteria; Burkholderiales; Sutterellaceae.